Molecule: ribosomal RNA, 497 nt
Filed under: uncultured bacterium
Lineage: Bacteria
Description: partial 16S ribosomal RNA
Rfam family: Bacterial small subunit ribosomal RNA
Source: RNAcentral
GAUGAACGCUGGCGGCGUGCCUAAUACAUGCAAGUCGAGCGAACGGGCGAGAAGCUUGCUUCUCUGAUGUUAGCGGCGGACGGGUGAGUAACACGUGGAUAACCUACCUAUAAGACUGGGAUAACUUCGGGAAACCGGAGCUAAUACCGGAUAAUAUUUUGAACCGCAUGGUUAAAAAGUGAAAGCCGGUCUUGCUGUUACUUCUAGAUGGAUCCGCGCUGCAUUAGCUAGUUGUUAAGGUAACGGCCUACCAAGGCAACGAUGCAUAGCCGACCUGAGAGGGUGAUCGGCCACACUGGAACGGAGACACGGUCCAGACUCCUACGGGAGGCAGCAGUAGGGAAUCUUCCGCAAUGGGCGAAAGCCUGACGGAGCAACGCCGCGUGAGUGAUGAAGGUCUUCGGAUCGGAAAACUCUGUUAUUAGGGAAGAACAUAUGUGUAAGUAACUGUGCACAUCUUGACGGUACCUAAUCAGAAAGCCACGGCUAACUACGUG